Molecule: long non-coding RNA, 573 nt
Filed under: Mytilus galloprovincialis (Mediterranean mussel)
Lineage: Eukaryota; Metazoa; Mollusca; Bivalvia; Mytilida; Mytilidae
Source: RNAcentral
GGUCAGUUGACCCCUUUAGGAGUUAUUGAUCUUUAUAGUCAAUUUUUAACCAUUUUUCGUAAAUCUUAGUAAUCUUUUACAAAUAUCUUCUCCUCUGAAACUACUUGGCCACAAUCAUCUUUUGGGUUAGUAGUUUGAAAAAUGUGUCCGGUGACCCGGCCAUCCAACCAAGAUGGCCGCCAUGGCUAAAAUAGAACAUGGGGUAAAAUGCAGUUUUUGGCUUAUAACUCAAAACCCAAAGCAUUUAGAGCAAAUCUGACAUUGGUAAAAUUGUUUAUCAGGUCAACAUUUAUCUGCUCUGAAAUUUUUAGAUGAAUCGGACAACCCGUUGUUGGGUUGCUGACCCUGAAUUGUUAGUUUUAAGGAAAUUUUGCUGUUUUUGGUCAUUAUGUUGAACAUUAUUAUUGAUAGAGAUAAACUGUAAACAACAAUAAUGUUCAACAAAGUAAGAUUUACAAAUAAGUCUACAUGACCGAAAUGGUCAAUUGACCCCCUUAGGAGUUAUUGUUCUUUAUAGUCAAUUUUUAACAAUUUUCAUAAAUUUUUACUAACAUUUUCCACUGAAACUAAUGG